Molecule: ribosomal RNA, 253 nt
Filed under: uncultured bacterium
Lineage: Bacteria
Description: partial 16S ribosomal RNA
Rfam family: Bacterial small subunit ribosomal RNA
Source: RNAcentral
UACGGAGGAUGCAAGCGUUAUCCGGCAUGAUUGGGCGUAAAGCGUCCGCAGGUGGUUGUGCGUGUCUAUUGUCAAAGCAUCAUGCUUAACAUGAUAAAGGCAGUAGAAACUACACGACUAGAGUGCGUUCGGGGCAGAGGGAAUUCCUGGUGUAGCGGUGAAAUGCGUAGAGAUCAGGAAGAACACCGGUGGCGAAAGCGAUCUGCUAGGCCGCAACUGACACUGAGGGACGAAAGCUAGGGGAGCGAAUGGG